UCGAGAGGCUUUGUCAAUGGGGGAAACCCUGAACAAGCGACGCCGCGUGGAGGAUGAAGGCCCUUGGGUUGUAAACUCCUUUUGCCGGGGAAGAAGUGCGAUCAGGUGAACAAUCUGGUCGUUUGACGGUACCUGGCGAAUAAGCUCCGGCCAACUCCGUGCCAGCAGCCGCGGUAACACGGGGGGAGCAAGCGUUGUUCGGAAUCACUGGGCGUAAAGGGCGUGUAGGCGGUCAGGUAAGUGGAAUGUGAAAUGCCCCGGCUCACCCGGGGACCGGCAUCCCAAACUGCCUGGCUUGAGUAUGGGAGAGGAUGGAGGAAUUCCUGGUGUAGCGGUGAAAUGCGUAGAUAUCAGGAGGAACACCGGUGGCGAAGGCGUCCAUCUGGCCCAAUACUGACGCUGAGGCGCGAAAGCUAGGGGAGCAAACG
This 428-nucleotide ribosomal RNA is filed under the name uncultured prokaryote. RNAcentral's name for it is "bacterial SSU rRNA". It matches the Rfam family "Bacterial small subunit ribosomal RNA", at positions 355 to 774 of the family's 1533-position model. The record is from RNAcentral.